Molecule: long non-coding RNA, 895 nt
Filed under: Monodelphis domestica (gray short-tailed opossum)
Lineage: Eukaryota; Metazoa; Chordata; Mammalia; Didelphimorphia; Didelphidae
Description: lncRNA (ENSMODG00000036484.1)
Source: RNAcentral
CAGCACCUGUGGCAGUGCCGUAUACAUUAAUAGAGGCUUUAGAAGUAUUUACUGAAUUGAAUCAAUNUGGUGUUACAGGAAAUGGGCCAAUGGAAUGCUGAAAACAGCUGAGGGGAUCGGGAGGGCUUGCUAAGAAGAAGGGAGGAAGCACAUAGGCAUUACAGCUGUCAGAGGAAAUUCAAAACAAAGAGAAAAAUGAGAAGAUUUUCUACUUCCUUCUAAAAUCUCCCUUAUAAUCAUUUAGGUGAGAGUUGCAUAACCAGGUCACAGAGGACUGAGAAGCCAGUAGUUGGAACAUCCUGUAGCCAGAAGACUUCAGCCUAUGACACCCAAACCUCAGAAUGUACUGCACCGUUUGCAUCAGAUAGAUGACUCUGGUGGCGAUAGCCUUGCCAAUGGCCCCAGUAACAAACACAUUCAGAGAAGAAAGCUGUGCCUGCUUCUUCAAGAGUUGUCCCUUGAGCAUUCCUAGGACAUGAAACGGAUGGCCAAGAUGAAGACCAGCAAUGGGGCAGGAAGCGUACUAGUCCAAAGAGGAAGGGCUCCUUCACCGGGCAUGAUUUGAGGAAGGCUUUUAAGAUGCCCUUAUAGUUGGUGGAUGCCAUGUCUUCAUUUCUGAACUUGGCCCCCUGGGCUAUCUGGAUGUUCACUAUCCACAGCAGUAGGGUCAGCAGCACAUUCAUCACAUCUGCAACAAAUCCAAUGACCAAAGCCUUUCUGGUGGGGAAAAACGGCAUUGGAAUUUUAUUUGGAAAAGAAGAAUCAUUUUUUUUGCUAACCCUUUCUUAGUCAUUUGUUCAUGAAGGACAAGAAAGUGACUGAAGUAUUCACUGCAUUUUAGAAUAUAUGAAAUAAUCCCAAUAAAAUAUAUUCCAAAAUUAUAAAUGGGGCCUUU